GGAUAUCUCGGCUCUCGCAUCGAUGAAGAACGUAGCGAAAUACGAUACGUGGUGUGAAUUGCAGAAUCCCGCGAACCAUCGAGUUUUUGAACGCAAGUUGCGCCCGAGGGUCCUGCCCGAGGGCACGCCUGCCUCAUGGGCGUAACAAGCCCAUCCACGCUCGGGUGUCCCGGCCUCGUCACUCGUGACGGGCCUGGACGGACGCGGAUGAUGGCCCUCCGAGCCAGAGCGCACGGCGGGCCGAAGCGUGCGUUUGUCGGAUGCGGUCGGAGCGGCGAGUGGUGGGAUCCUGCGCGCGCCGCCUCGUGCCAUUCUCCGGCGUCGGGCGCUUAGCUUCGACCCUGUACGAGGAGCCCGUCGUCGGCGCGUCCGACUUCGGGGAACCCUCGGACCAAUACCCCAGGUCAGGCGGGGCUACCCGCCGAGUUUAAGCAUA
RNAcentral lists this unclassified non-coding RNA (436 nucleotides) under Scleria comosa. Its description in RNAcentral is "sequence contains ITS1, 5.8S rRNA gene, ITS2". The stretch from base 1 to 142 matches the Rfam family "5.8S ribosomal RNA". Lineage: Eukaryota; Viridiplantae; Streptophyta; Magnoliopsida; Poales; Cyperaceae. The record is from RNAcentral.